CCGUGGGGAUUCGUCCCCAUUGAGAUAGCACCCUUUGUUCAUGAGUACCCUCGUUCCCUCGGCGGGCUUGCCCGCCAGUAGGACAAUACAAAAACCCUUUUGCAGUAGCAGUAACUUCAGUUAAUAAACAAAUAUUA
This 137-nucleotide unclassified non-coding RNA is filed under the name uncultured Pleosporales. The record is from RNAcentral. Lineage: Eukaryota; Fungi; Ascomycota; Dothideomycetes; Pleosporales.